This 365-nucleotide ribosomal RNA is filed under the name uncultured eukaryote. RNAcentral's name for it is "partial 18S ribosomal RNA". It matches the Rfam family "Eukaryotic small subunit ribosomal RNA", at positions 592 to 976 of the family's 1831-position model. The record is from RNAcentral.
CAAUAGCGUAUAUUUAAGUUGUUGCAGUUAAAAAGCUCGUAGUCGGAUUUUGGCUGAGAACGAUCGGUCCGCCGUUAGGUGUGCACUGAUUGGUCUCAGCUUCCUGGUGAGGAGGUGUGCUUCACGGCCACUUAGUCACCGUGGUUACUUUGAAAAAAUUAGAGUGUUCAAAGCGGGCUUACGCUUGAAUAUAUUAGCAUGGAAUAACACCAUAGGACUCCUGUCCUAUUUCGUUGGUCUCGGGACGGGAGUAAUGAUUAAGAGGAACAGUUGGGGGCAUUCGUAUUUCAUUGUCAGAGGUGAAAUUCUUAGAUUACCGAAAGACAAACUGCUGCGAAAGCGUCUGCCAAGGAUGUUUUCAUUGA